RNAcentral lists this long non-coding RNA (848 nucleotides) under Anser brachyrhynchus (Pink-footed goose). Its description in RNAcentral is "lncRNA (ENSABRG00000019539.1)". The record is from RNAcentral. Lineage: Eukaryota; Metazoa; Chordata; Aves; Anseriformes; Anatidae.
AGGUUGGAAACAUUGUUUAUGCUAAAAAGGCUAUUUGCUGCUAUAAUUUGUGUUUCUCAUUGUUAGGUGGCAGGGAGCCCAGUGGUGCUUUGGCUUUGGCUCAAAUAAAAGCAGUGCUGUACAGAAGGCAGAUCAUCUUCCUGGUGAAUUGAGAGGAUGCUAUCUGCUGUCUACAGUCAGCAUGGAAAUGGCACAAGCCUCCAGUGACUGCAUUUGAUGGGAUUUUUCUGUGGUGGACUCCACUGUGUUUACAACUGAUUUGGGAUGAUGCGGUGCUGUAAAGAGCUACCAAUAAACUAGAAGUUUGGUCUAACGGGAGAAGAACAGAGAAAAAAAUCCCUUUCUCCUGGUGCAGGGAUACAUUCAGACUGGACUGCUUAUUUUUGGUUUGCUGCCAAUAUGUUCCUCGGAUAGGAGGGGGCUGGUUUAGAUGUAGUUUCCCUCUCAUAAAAGCUGCUACCCGCACUGCAAUGGUGGACAUGACUGUGAACUUUAAGAUUCAAGAAGGCUGUUCUAAAAGCUACUGGAAAGAGUGUGAAAAUGCUCUAAAACUACAACUGGCCAUCCCAAGUGCUAAUGAGAGAGCCACAAGGUGCUUCCCCACCAGAGAAGGCUGCUGUGUACCCUGCAGUCCCUCUAAGGACCUGACUGUUGGAGAAGAGGGAGUAGCCUAUCUACUUACGGAAGAAUUCCAGAAGGAUGGCUGUUUAUCCCUCCUGCUGUCACGUUCCAUCUUUCUAGCUUGUGGGCUUUUGCAAAGGAAGGUUAUCAGCAAUCUGCUGCAGAGUCCUUCCCACUCAGUAAAUCAAAGCCUUGCUCUUCUCCGGUUCAUUUCCAUGGACAGAUGA